RNAcentral lists this small nuclear RNA (160 nucleotides) under Nannospalax galili (Upper Galilee mountains blind mole rat). RNAcentral's name for it is "U1 spliceosomal RNA (ENSNGAG00000006191.1)". It matches the Rfam family "U1 spliceosomal RNA". Rfam says of the family: U1 is a small nuclear RNA (snRNA) component of the spliceosome (involved in pre-mRNA splicing). Its 5' end forms complementary base pairs with the 5' splice junction, thus defining the 5' donor site of an intron. The record is from RNAcentral. Lineage: Eukaryota; Metazoa; Chordata; Mammalia; Rodentia; Spalacidae.
ACACUUACCUGGCACAGAGAUGCCAUGAUCAUGAGGGUGGUUUUCCCAGGGUGAGGUUUAUCCUUUGUACUCCAGAUGUCCUAACCCCUGCAAUUUCCCCAAAUGGGGGAAACACAACUACAUAAUUUGUGGUUAAGGGACUGUAUUCACGUUUUCCCAU